AAUUGAGCAAAUUCAAUUAUCGGGUCAAUUCCAAACAGUAUAUAAGUUAACCCCCUGGCCCCUUCUUCAUCAGUACCGUUUUCUGUUCCCUCAAGCUUUUAGCCAUGGAUUACCCUAAAACAGCAGUUCCUACUAACAUCUUCACUGAACGCGGCUCCAAUAUCGUCGUCAUCAAUCCAGGUUCCGCAAAUAUUAGAAUAGGAUUGGCUCAACAUGACACUCCAUUCAAUAUACCUCAUUGCAUUUCCCGUCGCACUAGUCAGUUACCGAAACGAAAUGCUCAAGAUCAAAUGCUGAAUUCUCAGGUUACAACUGCACAGCAUAUGGAACGGGAAAGAGCGUAUGACAUUGUUGCGUCGCUAUUGAGAAUUCCAUUUUUGGAUGAGGAGGUAGCUAACAGUUCUUAUCCACGCAAGAUGGGGAGUGUAGACGCAUAUCCUCCGCAAAAUAACAUGAAAGAGCCAGUGUUCACUUGGACCGAUGUUUUCGAGAAAAAUGUCCCUCAUUCUUCAACAACAGCAGAAGAAGAUGUACCCAACGAGGGCAAUACCAGCGAGUCGCCCACUCUGAAGGAAAGCAAGAUUAAGGAUGAACCUAAUUCCAGUGAACGUAAAUAUAGAGAGUACAUAUGUGGAGAGGAAGCUUUAAGAAUACCCCCAACUGAACCAUAUUGCUUGCGGCGUCCUAUACGCCGAGGUCAUUUGAAUGUAUCUCAAUAUUACCCGACGCAGCAGGUUCUCGAAGACCUGCAUACUAUAUGGGAGUGGAUUUUGGUUGAGAAAUUGCAUAUUCCUCAUCGUGAGAGAAACAUGUAUUCUGCAAUCCUUGUUAUUCCAGAGACAUUUGACAAUCGUGAAAUCAAGGAAAUGCUAUCUAUCGUGUUGUGUGACUUACGCUUUGGUUCAGCAGUAGUCCACCAGGAAGGUCUUGCUGCAGUUUUUGGAAAUGGUUUAUCAACAGCAUGCAUUGUCAACAUGGGAGCUCAAGUGACAUCUGUUAUCUGUGUUGAGGAUGGAGUGGUUCUACCCACAACACAGAUAUCUUUACGGUUUGGUGGAGAGGAUGUAUCAAGAUGCCUUCUCUGGACUCAGAGGCAUCAUCAAACAUGGCCACCUAUUCGGACUGAUGCCCUGUCAAAGCCUGUAGAUUUGCUGAUGCUUAACAGACUUAAGGAGUCCUACUGUCAGAUCAAAGAGGGGGAAGUAGAAGCUGUUGCUAUGGUACAUUCAUAUGAAGAUGGAAUGCAACCUGGAUCUCAUAAGACUAGGCUGACUGCUCUUAAUGUUCCCCCGAUGGGUUUAUUUUACCCAAUGCUUUUGGUUCCAGAUGUCUAUCCUCCGCCACCCCGCUCUUGGUUUAACGAUUAUGAUGAUAUGCUUGAGGACACAUGGCACAUGGACUUCCCUGGUGGUGGUGCAUAUCCGAUGUGGGAGAGCUACCCAGUUUUCCAAACAAAGCCAAAGAAAGAAGAUAUUAUUGGCCUUGCUGAAGCUAUUACAAAGAGCAUUCUUUUGACAGGGCGUAUUGAGUUACAGAGAAAGUUGUUUUGCAGCAUGCAACUGAUUGGUGGAGCUGCAUCGAUUUAUGGUCUCAUUCCUGCUGUGGAGGAAAGAGUUUUACAUGCAAUCCCUUCACAUGAAGCAAUUGACACUGUGGAGGUCUUGCAAUCGAGAACAAAUCCAGCAUUUGUGUCGUGGAAAGGCGGAGCAGUAAGUAGACACUACUUUUAUUAGAGAUCCUCGGAAUUCUUGAUAUUAGUAGGGAGGCCUGGAUUCAUCGUGAGGACUGGAUUAAAAAUGGAAUUCACAUUGGCAGUGGGAGAAAGUACAAGGAUUCAUGUUAUCUUCAAGCACAGGCAAUGUGCUAUCUGAAUUCAUAAGAGCUUUCUGCUGGGUUAUGAGAUUUGAUACUGAUCGAAACUGGAGCUUGCUAGCUUAUCUUGAAGACGAAAGAACUGUAAGCCUCACUCCUCCCUCUGGACUCAUAUGGUAGCCCUUGUGAACGACGAUUCGAUAAUCCUGAAACCUGAAAAAUUAUUCAAGAAUUAUCACUGAGCAAGGCCAAUCUGAAGUACAUCCUAAUUUCUAGAAAACUUAAGUCACCGUAUAGGGUUAUACUAAUCUUGCUAUUCUAACUUAUUUAAGACGAUUUUAUUCUCAAGCUUAUCGGAAUUUUCAUAGAAUUGGUUUGCUAGCUGACCCUCGAUGUGAAUAAUUAACUUGGGAGGAAUUUAAUUAGUCAAAUA
RNA transcript from Solanum tuberosum (potato), 2245 nucleotides. It is a transcript of the gene named actin-related protein 9, with no coding region annotated. Lineage: Eukaryota; Viridiplantae; Streptophyta; Magnoliopsida; Solanales; Solanaceae. The record is from RefSeq and is a predicted model, not a curated record. The transcript is spliced from 21 exons.